GACGAACGCUGGCGGCGUGCUUAACACAUGCAAGUCGAACGGAAAGGCCCUGCUUUUGUGGGGUGCUCGAGUGGCGAACGGGUGAGUAACACGUGAGUAACCUGCCCUUGACUUUGGGAUAACUUCAGGAAACUGGGGCUAAUACCGGAUAUGAGCUCCUGCUGCAUGGUGGGGGUUGGAAAGUUUCGGCGGUUGGGGAUGGACUCGCGGCUUAUCAGCUUGUUGGUGGGGUAGUGGCUUACCAAGGUUUUGACGGGUAGCCGGCCUGAGAGGGUGACCGGCCACAUUGGGACUGCGAUACGGACCAGACUCCUACGGGAGGCAGCAGUGGGGAAUAUUGCACAAUGGGCGGAAGCCUGAUGCAGCAACGCCGCGUGCGGGAUGACGGCCUUCGGGUUGUAAACCGCUUUCGCCUGUGGCGAAGCGUGAGUGACGGUAAUGGGUAAAGAAGCACCGGCUAACUACGUG
RNAcentral lists this ribosomal RNA (468 nucleotides) under uncultured bacterium. RNAcentral describes it as "partial 16S ribosomal RNA". It matches the Rfam family "Bacterial small subunit ribosomal RNA", at positions 28 to 507 of the family's 1533-position model. The record is from RNAcentral.